Molecule: long non-coding RNA, 420 nt
Organism: Homo sapiens (human)
Lineage: Eukaryota; Metazoa; Chordata; Mammalia; Primates; Hominidae
Source: Ensembl
GAACCGGGUCGCGGCGGCCGAGGCUCGGGGUGAGUGAGGGGCGGCAGGGCUCUGAGCCUGGCGGGUUCCGGCUAUUCCCUUCGCGGUCCAGUUUAGUCCACUGCGAGGGCACCUGCAGCGCCGGGAUCUGAGUGCGAAACUCCGAGCGGAAGCUGGUCUGGCAGCCUCCAGGACCACUGGCUGCCCAUGAGAGACGAAGGAUGGCAUCCAAGGGGGCCGGCGUGUCUUUCUCCCGCAAGAGCUGUAGGCUGACCUCAGAUGCUGAGAAAUCCAGGGUCACAGUUACUCGGGAGGCUGAGGCAGGAGAAUCGCUUGAACCGGAGAGGCGGACGUUGCAGUGAGCCGAGGUCAAACCAGUGCACUCCAGCCUGGGCAACAGAGCGAGACUCCAUCUGAAAAAGAAACAAAAAGAAAAAAAAA